RNAcentral lists this ribosomal RNA (434 nucleotides) under uncultured Lachnospiraceae bacterium. RNAcentral's name for it is "bacterial SSU rRNA". It matches the Rfam family "Bacterial small subunit ribosomal RNA", at positions 341 to 792 of the family's 1533-position model. The record is from RNAcentral. Lineage: Bacteria; Bacillati; Bacillota; Clostridia; Lachnospirales; Lachnospiraceae.
ACGGAAGGCAGCAGUGGGGAAUAUUGCACAAUGGGGGAAACCCUGAUGCAGCGACGCCGCGUGAGUGAAGAAGUUAUUCGUAAUGUAAAGCUCUAUCAGCAGGGAAGAUAAUGAUGGUACCUGACUAAGAAGCUCCGGCUAAAUACGUGCCAGCAGCCGCGGUAAUACGUAUGGAGCAAGCGUUAUCCGGAUUUACUGGGUGUAAAGGGUGUGUAGGCGGUAAGGUAAGUCAGAAGUGAAAUGCCGGGGCUCAACUCCGGAGCUGCUUUUGAAACUGCAUUACUUGAGUCCAGGAGAGGCAGGCGGAAUUCCUAGUGUAGCGGUGAAAUGCGUAGAUAUUAGGAAGAACACCAGUGGCGAAGGCGGCCUGCUGGACUGGUACUGACGCUGAGGCACGAAAGCGUGGGGAGCAAACAGGAUUAGAUACCCUGGUA